UACGUAGGUGGCAAGCGUUAUCCGGAUUUAUUGGGCGUAAAGAGAACGCAGGCGGUCUUUUAAGUCUGAUGUGAAAGCCUUCGGCUUAACCGGAGUAGUGCAUUGGAAACUGGGAGACUUGAGUGCAGAAGAGGAGAGUGGAACUCCAUGUGUAGCGGUGAAAUGCGUAGAUAUAUGGAAGAACACCAGUGGCGAAAGCGGCUCUCUGGUCUGUGACUGACGCUGAGGUUCGAAAGCGUGGGUAGCAAACAGG
Molecule: ribosomal RNA, 253 nt
Filed under: uncultured bacterium
Lineage: Bacteria
Description: partial 16S ribosomal RNA
Rfam family: Bacterial small subunit ribosomal RNA
Source: RNAcentral